This 422-nucleotide ribosomal RNA is filed under the name uncultured prokaryote. RNAcentral's name for it is "bacterial SSU rRNA". It matches the Rfam family "Bacterial small subunit ribosomal RNA", at positions 355 to 774 of the family's 1533-position model. The record is from RNAcentral.
UGAGGAAUAUUGGUCAAUGGGCGCAAGCCUGAACCAGCCAUCCCGCGUGCAGGAUGAAGGCCCUAUGGGUCGUAAACUGCUUUUAUACACCAAGAAAAACACCCACGAGUGGGUGCCCGACGGUAGUGUAUGAAUAAGCAUCGGCUAACUCCGUGCCAGCAGCCGCGGUAAUACGGAGGAUGCAAGCGUUAUCCGGAUUCAUUGGGUUUAAAGGGUGCGUAGGCGGCUUUUUAAGUCAGUGGUGAAAUCUUGCCGCUUAACGGUAAAAUUGCCAUUGAUACUGAUAAGCUUGAGUACAAUUGAGGUAAGCGGAAUGUGUAGUGUAGCGGUGAAAUGCUUAGAUAUUACACAGAACACCGAUUGCGAAGGCAGCUUACUAAACUGUUACUGACGCUGAUGCACGAAAGCGUGGGGAGCGAACA